AGUUACUGGUCCAGUAAAACAUUGCGUAUUGUGUCGGUCGUCCUAAUUAAUAGUUUUAGGUAUAUGUUGAAAGUAUUUUAGGAAAAAGUGUGUCGUUUUGUGUGUGUAUUUGAUUUAAUGUAAAACCUAGAAUAGUGUGUCAUUUUCGUAUAAGUGACUAGAAGGACAUCAACAGUGAUUGGACCAUAUUGGGUUAAAUUAGUUGAUGAACGACCCCCUCUGCUCCAGCGCUGAGUGGCCGCCUUGUUCCAAUGCCCAGACAUCGAUCGUAUACGUCACCCAUUCAUUCGAUGGGGUACCGUCAGAUUCGUCUUCGAUGAUGAGAGAGAGCUGCUGCUGCCGCUGCCGCCAGGAGUACUUUGACCGAAGUGCGAGAGGAUAACAAUUUAUGUGGACCACGAACAAAAUGAGCCUUCUACCAAGCAUCCAAAGUAGUCGAGGACGGAACGCAAAGACGAAAAACGAAAACUUGACGACGAGAAAGCCGUUGUGCUUCUUUCACUGUCAGUGGGAUGUAAUUGAUUUAUAUAACAGCAAGUGUUAUUCGUGGAUGAAGAAUAAAGCAAAUGUAUUUGGCCUUGGAAAGAAUUUAGAUUAAAAAGUACUGCCAAGCAACUUUGCAAAUGGAAUUUUAUGGUCGUUGCACUCAUUUCAAAUAGAUAAAUUACAAAAAAACUUAAUACUUUUUAAUUUUAAAGUUUCGUAAAAUACUACAGUUAUUAAUUUGAAGUAGGUGAGAUGUGGAAGCGUCUGGAGGCCGCAUGAAACCUGAACGCCGUUUGAUUUAUUCCUGUUCUUUUCAGGCAUCUGUUGUUAAUGUUCUUCAAAGCUAUAGUGUAGGUAUGACUCUUGUCUCUGAAGAUGUUAGUGCUUUACAAAGCUACAGAAAAUGGUCUUAUGUUUAUGUCAAUGUUAUUUGUAGUAUGUAUCUCGUCGUCUGAAAGUAUGCGCUAUUUAUGUUGCAAUGGUCGAGCUGCGGCUUCUCGUGCAUUUCUCGUGCAUAGUGAAAACAACUUUUCGUUCAGUGGGAAUUUGUCAAUUAAAGUGUUCGGGAUACAAAACCAGGCUUGAUCUCUGUGCCGUCAUGCCGAAGGCUCCGUUAAGGUGUGAGAGAGCAAGUCCUGGAAACGAAAGCAAUGCAUCAAUUAUCUCUUAUGACAGACGGCACAAAGAAUUGUAACUUUUUUUUUUUUGAAAGUGUUCUGAAUUCUUUAUGAAGGAUCUUCUUAUAAAUGUAAAGGAAUGGAGAAAGUGAUUGCGUAUACCUUCAAUUAACCUAAUUGUGUUUAAAGUGGCUGAGAGGGCUUUAGAUAAUACACACCAAGGCAUUUUACAUGCGUAAAUAAUUGAUACAAAACACUUAAUAUUUACAUUCCAGUUUCUGCAUAGUCAUUAACCUUUAUUGAUAAUGGUGGAACGUAUGAUCAUUUUUCGUCAGUCAAGCCGAAACUCAUCCACUUGCUUUUUGGUCGCUUUUCUACGUCUACUUUGACGAUAUGUGGAUAUUUAUUUAUUUUAUUUCCUCUGUAAUAAUAUUUGCUAGUGUUAAUCGGAAAGUGUUUUUUAUUAUUUUUUUUCUCGGACUCAUCCGUGCUUUAAUUAAGUAGCUGUUUACUCUAAAACUUCUGAUAUAGCAAAAAUUAAGAGCACUGUUAAUGGAACAUGAUAUCUAAACACCUUCUACAAAUAUAAGGCUUUGGUAUCUGUAUAUCACCUGUAAUUUAUAUUUGCUUUUAACAGUACGCCUGUUGUAAUAUGUGAAAUUUGCAGAGGAAAUGUGAUUGCUUAUUAUAUUUUGACAGUUCAACGAGUGUCCUUUGUAUUUCGACUUCUGCCGUUAAUGUUAUAGGGCAAAAGUACUAAGGACAUUCGUUCCUUCCAUUGGGCGUUGUCUCCCUGUCACCUCUAGUUCAUUGUGUAUUUCUCCGGUUCGCAGUUGUCGUAGUAAGAUGAUCUAAGGUAAUCCCUUUUAUUAGUAAGCACAUGCCCGUAGUUUUACGAGAUUGAGGGAAAAUGCUUACUGCGUCACUUUAUUCAUUAGGUAAAAAUUCUAUUAUUGAAAACUGAGGGAAAAUGAAGGUAUAACAUUAAGACUUCUCACCGGACUAAGGAAAUGUGGUAUCCUUCACAGUGAUAUGGAUAUAUAUUUACGUUUUGUGUAGAACACUACUCGCAUUUAUCUAUUUAUUCUAGUAAUGGAUGGAUAUAUACCUUUGUCUGUGGAGAUUCCCUGACUGAAAACCGUAUUUCAAUAUGGAAAUGUGUAUCGUCAUUUAACAGCUUUACACCUUUUCAUUCACGUUAUUUGAAGUUAAUCUGUUAUUGUAUUAGAAGGUAAAACCGACAACGAAAUGGUCUAGCCUGUCUUUUUGGUCGUCAAGCGCUUGACAUUCAAGUCUCAGAGUUUUCACGUAACCAUCUCAUCACACAGUCUCCAAAUAUCUCUAAAUCUUAAAAGCCAUCUUGUUAAACUGACUCCAGGUAUCUCAUGUUGUCAUUUCAUCCGAAUUUUAGAGGCCAUAAA
This is a long non-coding RNA of Macrobrachium nipponense, 2524 nucleotides long. RefSeq lists it as uncharacterized. Lineage: Eukaryota; Metazoa; Arthropoda; Malacostraca; Decapoda; Palaemonidae. The record is from RefSeq and is a predicted model, not a curated record. The transcript has 4 exons.